AGAAAAAAAGAAAAGAAAGGGUCCCAUUUUUCCUAUUUUCUCUUUGGUUUUCAUACAAAAAAAUUGUGAUCUACGAAGAUCUAACCGUCCAAACUCAAAUCCGAAUUUUGGAAACAUGAUCUACGAAGUCCGAUCUACGUUUCUACCGAUCGUUUUGAGGUAAUGAGUUACUUAGAACUUGAUUGAAGCUACCCAAACCUUGGGUUUUGGUUUGGUGAAAUUUGGUGAGUUUUGGUGAGUUUUGUGAUACAUUGCAAGGUGGCGUCUAGGAGACCUAAGCUUGGUAUCAGCGCAAUCAGAUUAUGAACAGAGCCAGAUUGAAGUUUGAAUAGAGCCAGAGAAGCUCAGAAAAGAAGAAAGAGCUAGUGAUUCAGUGAAGCCCAAAGCCAGAGAAGCUCAUCAAAAAAAUAUUUUGGUAUCCAAAGAUAGAGGUUAUCAUUUGACAUUUUGGAACUAAACUUUUUUGUUCAUGUAAUUUUUUUUUUGGCGCUCCCUAGCAUUGGCAUUGAUGUUGUAACUUUUGUUGAUGUAAUUGUUCUUGUAGGUUUUGGUAUGGUACCAUGUACAAAAAAUCUU
Alnus glutinosa is the source of this 576-nucleotide long non-coding RNA. RefSeq lists it as uncharacterized. The record is from RefSeq and is a predicted model, not a curated record. NCBI's taxonomy places the organism in Eukaryota, Viridiplantae, Streptophyta, Magnoliopsida, Fagales, Betulaceae. The transcript is spliced from 4 exons.